AUGCGUCUGAUCCCCAAGAGUAUUGCGGUUCAUCGGUUAGGAGGAGAUCGAGCCUACUGGACUGUUGCUUUGUUUAUUUUGGGGGGUGCUGACUGGAAUGCUCAUGACCCAGAAGUGCCACCGGUGGAUGAAGGGCCGCCACCGGCUAAUGGAAUCCCCCAUCCCAUGUUCGGUGAUGGGCUCAUGGCGGAACAACUGUAUCAACAACAGUUGCAGAAUUGGCUCAUUCAGAACGGGAUUGGAAACGAUGGCCCGCACAGUGUUGCUCACCAAGAUGAUCCUCAACCUGCUUCAUGGGAUGCCUGGCCUGCACCACUAGUUGCACAAAUGCUGGCUGCCCUUGUUAAUUUCCAGUCCUGGCUAGCAGCUCAAGGUCUGAUAGUCCCAAGAUGGUAUCUUACCUGA
Molecule: ribosomal RNA, 405 nt
Filed under: Triticum aestivum (bread wheat)
Lineage: Eukaryota; Viridiplantae; Streptophyta; Magnoliopsida; Poales; Poaceae
Description: partial small subunit ribosomal RNA
Source: RNAcentral